CUGCAACAAACCUGGUCCCUCAAACCAAUUAAUCACUCCUGCAGACAUGAUUCAUGAAUGAGGCUAUUCUCCACUAUUAUACACAAACAUAUUACUCUCUCUAUAUAUAUAUAUGUGCCUUCUUUUUACUUUAGAUUUCUAUGAUCUUUGGUGCUCCAUUGGAGAUGUAUGAGUUUAGAAGCAUAUCGUAUGUAUCAAUUAUCAAAUAAUUAACAGCUUUACAUGCUCUUAGCUUUGAAUCAUUACAAUAUCAUGCGAAUUAAACAUACGUCCGUACUACAAAACAAAUUACAGUUAAUUGUCUAUCAUAUCGCCGCGUCCUUAUCUUUAUGUUGAUGAAGCACUGUACCUAGCUAGCCAGAAUAUCAUAUUGUCUUUUCUCUGUACCCAUCAUAUAAACUAACCCAAAAAAAGGGUUCGUCAUCAUUUUCACUCGAAACAAAAACCCCGUUACGAAAUAUGGAAUAGUUAUCACAGAAAAACUAACGAAGGGCCAAAAAAUCGAAGAGAGAAAAAACUAUUGGGAAUAAAAAGUAUUUCAUCUUUGCAUUAAGAAGUAGCUGCUACUGCUGGUAGCUAUAAAGAGUUUUAUCUUUUGUAGGACCAAGGGGGGGUAAGAACAUGUUAGGAGUGAGGUCUGCACGUGCAAAAGUAAAAGAAGGUAUCAUAAAUCUGAAAGAACACCUAAAAGGGUGUCAAUUGUUGUACAGAGUGUAACAGGGUCAAUACGACAAAUGGUGGUGGAGGUGCUGGUGGUAGUGGAUCAUCACAAACAAUACUACCACAAGAAGCAAAACAUAUAAUCAAAAGGGUAUCCACUAAAAAACACAGAAAACAACUAUUCUCAGGCUUUUGCUCACGGUACCCCAUCUUUAAUUCUUGUGUCACUAAUGUGGAUUAUGCAACCAAGUGGAGCGUAUGCUUCAGGUGUUGCUUCAAACAGUUCUAAUAACAAAGCGACAAGGAAGUUCAUACAUCAUCAAGGUCCAGCAGCAUGUCUAUCUGCAAAAUUGUCAAAUUGUGUCUUUCCUUUUGCAGGAGUGUGAUCUAAACACUCAGCAGCACAUGAAGACAGAUUCUGCUUAAGGUUGGGGAUUUGCUUGUAUCUUAAAAAUUUUGAAAAAAUUAAACCAGACAUGGGAUAAACUUUGAUGGAUUGAGGGAGGCGUGUGGCACCGUCAUGAUUGUAUUGUUGACAAAAGAAUCUUGAUAGCAUUAUGUGCAGAUCGUGCAGCUUUUGACAAUCGUCAAAUCAGGUCACGUUGUUGUUUAAAUGCU
This 1278-nucleotide long non-coding RNA is filed under the name Phaseolus vulgaris (common bean). Its description in RNAcentral is "long non-coding RNA (PVUL_LNC004469)". Lineage: Eukaryota; Viridiplantae; Streptophyta; Magnoliopsida; Fabales; Fabaceae. The record is from RNAcentral.